GAUGAACGCUGGCGGCGUGCUUAACACAUGCAAGUCGAACGAUGAAGCUCAGCUUGCUGGGUGGAUUAGUGGCGAACGGGUGAGUAACACGUGAGUAACCUGCCCUUAACUCUGGGAUAAGCCUGGGAAACUAGGUCUAAUACCGGAUAGGAGCGCCUACCGCAUGGUGGGUGUUGGAAAGAUUUAUCGGUUUUGGAUGGACUCGCGGCCUAUCAGCUUGUUGGUGAGGUAAUGGCUCACCAAGGCGACGACGGGUAGCCGGCCUGAGAGGGUGACUGGCCACACUGGGAAGGGGAAACGGCCCAGACUCCUACGGGGGGGAGGAGGGGGGAAUAUUGCAAAAGGGGCGAAAGCCUGAUGCAGCGACGCCGCGUGGGGGAUGACGGCCUUCGGGUUGUAAACCUCUUUCAGGAGGGAAGAAGCGAAAGUGACGGGACCUGCAGAAGAAGCACCGGCUAACUACGU
Molecule: ribosomal RNA, 465 nt
Filed under: uncultured bacterium
Lineage: Bacteria
Description: partial 16S ribosomal RNA
Rfam family: Bacterial small subunit ribosomal RNA
Source: RNAcentral